GUCUACAGCCAUACCACGCUGAACGCUCCUGAUCUCAUCUGAUCUCAGAAGCUAAGCAGGGUCAAGCCCGGUUAGUACUUGAUGGGAGGGUUAGCCCAGGGAUACAAAACU
Molecule: ribosomal RNA, 111 nt
Filed under: Chinchilla lanigera (long-tailed chinchilla)
Lineage: Eukaryota; Metazoa; Chordata; Mammalia; Rodentia; Chinchillidae
Source: RNAcentral